This 355-nucleotide unclassified non-coding RNA is filed under the name Athalia rosae (coleseed sawfly). RNAcentral describes it as "misc RNA ENSAEAG00005006431.1". Lineage: Eukaryota; Metazoa; Arthropoda; Insecta; Hymenoptera; Athaliidae. The record is from RNAcentral.
CAACGAACUUCUAGCGUAGAUCCGAUGCACUCCGCGAAUCCACAGGUAUAUUAAAUGGCCACUCUAUCUAACUAUUCAUGGUCGAGAAGAAAUCGUUUGAGGAACACUAAGGAAACACUCACUUGAGCCCACUCUUGAAUCUUCAUAGCCAACAGGAAAUGCUUCCAUUUUACUGUUGGAGAAUCAGUAGCACAGUAACCUCGUGUGUUCGUGUCGUUGAUAUCUUCGUACCGAAUUCGUACGUUGUGAAUAUGAGGAAUCGGAAAACAUCAUACUCUAGGUGCUCUCUGAAAUUUUUUGGAGCAGGCAGUAGACUUUUGAAGAGGUGGUCUAUCUGCGGAGGAUGAAUUUUAAG